Molecule: ribosomal RNA, 433 nt
Filed under: uncultured bacterium
Lineage: Bacteria
Description: partial 16S ribosomal RNA
Rfam family: Bacterial small subunit ribosomal RNA
Source: RNAcentral
AACGAACGCUGGCGGCAUGCCUAACACAUGCAAGUCGAACGAGACCUUCGGGUCUAGUGGCGCACGGGUGCGUAACGCGUGGGAACCUGCCCUUAGGUUCGGAAUAACUCCCCGAAAGGGGUGCUAAUACCGGAUAAUGUCUUCGGACCAAAGAUUUAUCGCCUUUGGAUGGGCCCGCGUUGGAUUAGCUAGUUGGUAGGGUAAAAGCCUACCAAGGCGACGAUCCAUAGCUGGUCUGAGAGGAUGAUCAGCCACACUGGGACUGAGACACGGCCCAGACUCCUACGGGAGGCAGCAGUGGGGAAUAUUGGACAAUGGGCGAAAGCCUGAUCCAGCAAUGCCGGGUGAGUGAUGAAGGCCUUAGGGUUGUAAAGCUCUUUUACCCGGGAUGAUAAUGACAGUACCGGGAGAAUAAGCUCCGGCUAACUACGUG